UACGAAGGGGGCUAGCGUUGUUCGGAAUUACUGGGCGUAAAGCGUGUGUAGGCGGUCCACUAAGUCGGGUGUGAAAGCCCUGGGCUCAACCCAGGAAGUGCACUCGAAACUGGAGGGCUAGAGUAUCGGAGAGGUUGGUGGAAUUCUCGGUGUAGAGGUGAAAUUCGUAGAUAUCGAGAGGAACACCGGUGGCGAAGGCGGCCAACUGGACGAAUACUGACGCUGAGACACGAAAGCGUGGGGAGCAAACAGG
This 253-nucleotide ribosomal RNA is filed under the name uncultured bacterium. RNAcentral's name for it is "partial 16S ribosomal RNA". It matches the Rfam family "Bacterial small subunit ribosomal RNA", at positions 524 to 776 of the family's 1533-position model. The record is from RNAcentral.